RNAcentral lists this long non-coding RNA (744 nucleotides) under Populus trichocarpa (black cottonwood). RNAcentral's name for it is "long non-coding RNA (PTRI_LNC001275)". The record is from RNAcentral. Lineage: Eukaryota; Viridiplantae; Streptophyta; Magnoliopsida; Malpighiales; Salicaceae.
UUUGAACUAGGCUUCUGCCUCUGGUACUCAUCACUACAGCUGCAGGCUUUAACCUUUCUGCUUCAUUGCAAAUUACCUUUCCAGCAUCCCCUUGCACAAUCCGAGCCACAGUCCUAACCUAAUUAAAAACAAGAAAUAAAAAUAAAUUGAGGGAAAACAUCAAUUUCUGUGGAGAUUUUUGUUGUCCCUUGAUCAAUAGUUGAAGAACUUAGAGCUACAUAAUGUAAGUUAAAAUAAUUAGAUACUCUGCAUAUCACUACAAGAGCAUGAAUUAGAGUAAGAUUACAGGUACAAGAAUCAAAACAUCUUAGCUCAUGAAUCCAAAGCAAGUGGUUUAAUAGUCAAGGGAGAGCAAUUAAUAACAGAGAUCAUAUAUUAGGUGAAACUUAUGCAGAAAUAGAUCUGUUGUGAACCUAAUCAAAUUGUACUUGAUCAUGCAAAAUCAAGAUAAUUAACAGUUGAAAAACAAAACAUUGUCUUUAAAACGCUUAUUAUUCUAAUUUUUCAAUCAAGAUUUACUCUCGUGAACAAUAACAAUGGAGAAAAAUACUUUCUUUUAUAUAUAUCUAAAAAAAAAAAACAGAAUGGUAGGUCACUAACCAUGGCAACCUGCAAAGCCUCUACGGCAAGCUUCUCCAUGAGCUGCUGGCUUGUCUCAUAAACAACAGUAUUCUGCACACCUAAAAUAACCCAUAAAAGAAAUCAAGCCAAAAUUCCAAACCUCAAUUAUGCAGAACAUACAAA